RNAcentral lists this ribosomal RNA (461 nucleotides) under uncultured bacterium. Its description in RNAcentral is "partial 16S ribosomal RNA". It matches the Rfam family "Bacterial small subunit ribosomal RNA", at positions 338 to 795 of the family's 1533-position model. The record is from RNAcentral.
CCUACGGGUGGCUGCAGUGAGGAAUAUUGGUCAAUGGGCGCGAGCCUGAACCAGCCAAGUCGCGUGAGGGAGGACGGCCCUACGGGUUGUAAACCUCUUUUGCCGGGGAGCAACGGGCGUCACGUGUGGCGCCACUGAGAGUACCCGGAGAAAAAGCAUCGGCUAACUCCGUGCCAGCAGCCGCGGUAAUACGGAGGUGGCAAGCGUUAUCCGGAAUGACUGGGCGUAAAGGGUGCGUAGGUGGUUUAGUAAGUUGGCGGUGUAAUUCCGGGGCUCAACCUCGGCGCUACCGCCAAAAAUAUUAGACUAGAGUGCAGGAGGGGUAAGUGGAAUUCCUAGUGUAGCGGUGGAAUGCGUAGAUAUUAGGAGGAACAUCAGGGGCGAAGGCGACUUACUGGACUGUAACUGACACUGAGGCACGAAAGCGUGGGGAGCAAACAGGAUUAGAUACCCGGGUAGUC